This 666-nucleotide long non-coding RNA is filed under the name Equus caballus (horse). RNAcentral describes it as "lncRNA (ENSECAG00000049387.1)". Lineage: Eukaryota; Metazoa; Chordata; Mammalia; Perissodactyla; Equidae. The record is from RNAcentral.
AGAGAGAACAAGUUUAAAGGCCCUGAGGACGGAGCACACCUGAAACAUUUGAGCAACAGCAACAAACCAGGCUUGACUGGAGCAGAGUGAGGAGGAGAGAGUGCAGGAGCCGUGGCAGGAAAGGGGCCCAUGGCCAGAUCCUGGAGGGCCUCAUCUUCCAUCUGAAGAGUCUAGGUUUUCUUCUAAAAGGACCGGAGUAGAUACUUUCAUACUUACUUACAGAAAUAGAAGGAGAUGCUAUUGAUAAGACUUUGGACGCUGAUGGCUGGACACUCCAUUAUAGUUACCUUGAACAUGAACCCAAAAAUGAACAUCUAAAUUAGUUCCUUGAGAGCAUUCAAGAAAAAAGCCAAUCACAUCUAUGUAACAUGUAAACAGCAUCCAUUUCCCGUUGAUGAUCCCAAAUGUGGACUCUCAGCAAAGGGGAAUGAUGCUUCCCUCAGCACCGGGAGGGAAGAAGAGCCAGGCUCCUACUGCUUCUCAGAGGGAUUUGCCUCAAAGUGUGAUUCUAAUCAACACAUGAGCGAGGAAGAGGGGAUGGGACCGAAUCGGCAAAGUCUCCUCUCUAUUAAAUGGAAUAUAAAAAGGUUGAACUUACUGAAGCAGAGAGUAAAAUGAUGGUUGAUGGGCUGGGAAUGGGGGAACUGGAAAGAUGUUGGUCAAAGG